CAGCCUUAGAAACGGCUACCACAUCCACGGAAGGCAGCAGGUGCGCAAAUUACCCAAUUCUGACACAGAGAGGUAGUGACAAGAAAUAACAUUAGCGCAGCUUUUAGUUGCAUUUUGGAAUGGAAACAAUGUAAAAACCUUAUUUAGUAUCAAGCGGAGGGCAAGCCUGGUGC
RNAcentral lists this ribosomal RNA (173 nucleotides) under uncultured eukaryote. Its description in RNAcentral is "partial 18S ribosomal RNA". It matches the Rfam family "Eukaryotic small subunit ribosomal RNA", at positions 392 to 567 of the family's 1831-position model. The record is from RNAcentral.